AAACUGAGUUCAAUACUCGAUAGGAAUUUAGCUCUGGAAUGACUAAAUUCCCAAAGCUACGGCGCCUAAGGAUGGGGCUACAUCUCAUCAGCCUGUUGGGGGUGUAACGAACCCUCAAAGCUAUAACGGGUACGGGCCGUGAGAGCGGAAGCCCGGAGAUGGAUUCUGAGACAUGAAUCCAGGUCCUACGGGACGCAGCAGGCGCGAAACCUUCGCAAUGUGCUAGCGCACGACGAGGGGAUCCGAAGUGUUGCAGUUCUACUGCAACUUUUGUCAAGUCCAAACAGCUUGACGAAUGAGGGGUGGGUAAGACGGGUGCCAGCCGCCGCGGUAAUACCCGCGCCCCAAGUGGUAUCCAGUAUUAUUGGGCCUAAAACGUCCAUAGCCGGCUUAGCAAGUCUUCGGUGAAAUUCACUAGUAGACUAGUGAGCUUGUCGGAGAUACUGCUAGGCUUGGGAUCGGGAGAGGGUAGAGGUACUCCUAGGGGAGGGGUAAAAUCCUAUAAUCCUAGGGGACCACCUGUGGCGAAGGCGUCUACCUAGAACGAAUCCGACGGUGAGGAACGAAAGCUAGGGGAGCGAUCGGGAUUAGAUACCCCGGUAGUCCUAGCCGUAAACGA
RNAcentral lists this ribosomal RNA (619 nucleotides) under uncultured archaeon. RNAcentral describes it as "bacterial SSU rRNA". It matches the Rfam family "Archaeal small subunit ribosomal RNA", at positions 137 to 760 of the family's 1478-position model. The record is from RNAcentral.